RNAcentral lists this unclassified non-coding RNA (241 nucleotides) under Ascomycota sp. RNAcentral's name for it is "partial contains 5.8S ribosomal RNA, internal transcribed spacer 2, and large subunit ribosomal RNA". The record is from RNAcentral. Lineage: Eukaryota; Fungi; Ascomycota.
CGCACAUUGCGCCCUUCGGUAUUCCGUUGGGCAUGCCUGUUCGAGCGUCAUUUAAACCUUCAAGCAUAGCUUGGUGUUGGGUGCUUGUCCUCCCCCGCGGCGGACUCACCUCAAAUGCAUUGGCGGCCGGUAUGUUGGCUUCGAGCGCAGUACAACGCGCAAGGCGUCUUGACAUGCUGGUCCUCCACAAGACCUUCUUAAGCUUGACCUCGGAUCAGGUAGGGAUACCCGCUGAACUUAA